Molecule: non-coding RNA, 719 nt
Filed under: Acyrthosiphon pisum (pea aphid)
Lineage: Eukaryota; Metazoa; Arthropoda; Insecta; Hemiptera; Aphididae
Description: Eukaryotic small subunit ribosomal RNA
Rfam family: Eukaryotic small subunit ribosomal RNA
Source: Rfam by way of RNAcentral
UGGUAACGGGUAACGGGGAAUCAGGGUUCGAUUCCGGAGUAGGGAGCCUGAGAAACGGCUACCACAUCCAAGGAAGGCAGCAGGCGCGCAAAUUACCCACUCCCGGAACGGGGAGGUAGUGACGAAAAAUAACGAUACGGGACUCAUCCGAGGCCCCGUAAUCGGAAUGAGAACACUUUAAAACCUUUAAACGAGGAUCAAUUGGAGGGCAAGUCUGGUGCCAGCAGCCGCGGUAAUUCCAGCUCCAAUAGCGUAUAUUAAAGUUGUUGCGGUUAAAAAGCUCGUAGUCGGAUCUGUGUCUGGACGGUGCCGGACCACCCUGGCGGUCCGUCGUGUCGCGGCCGGCCGUGUCGCGGGACCACGUGUCCCGUCGGCGCGGUCGCCGUCGCGCUCGUCAGCCGUCUCGGGGUGUUAGUUACCGGCACGUCGGCCGGACGUAUUGUCGGCAGGCGGACACGUGUCUCGUGCUUCCGGCGCGCCGCGCGGCCACGCGUCGCGCGGCCGUCGGUGUUCGACGACGGCGGCCGCCUACUCCAAUCUUGCUGCGCGGUGCUCUUCACCGAGUGCCGUCGGCGGGCCGACACGUUUACUUUGAACAAAUUAGAGUGCUCAAAGCAGGCUCGAAUCUGGCGGGGCGGCUUCACGGCCGUCUCGUCAAAAGGCCCUGAAUACUGGUCGCAUGGAAUAAUGGAACAAGACCUCGGUCCCGCGCAUCUCCG